RNAcentral lists this ribosomal RNA (253 nucleotides) under uncultured Armatimonadota bacterium. RNAcentral describes it as "uncultured Armatimonadetes bacterium partial 16S ribosomal RNA". It matches the Rfam family "Bacterial small subunit ribosomal RNA", at positions 524 to 776 of the family's 1533-position model. The record is from RNAcentral. Lineage: Bacteria; Bacillati; Armatimonadota.
UACGUAGGGGGCGAGCGUUGUCCGAAUUUACUGGGCGUAAAGCGCGCGUAGGCGGAUUUUUAAGUUGGGGGUGAAAUCCCGGGGCUCAACCCCGGAACUGCCUCCAAAACUGGAAGUCUUGAGGUAUGGAGAGGGAAGUGGAAUUCCAGGUGUAGCGGUGAAAUGCGUAGAUAUCUGGAGGAACACCCGUGGCGAAGGCGGCUUCCUGGUCAUAUCCUGACGCUGAGGUGCGAAAGCUAGGGGAGCGAACGGG